UGGGGAAUUUUGGACAAUGGGCGAAAGCCUGAUCCAGCAAUGCCGCGUGUGUGAAGAAGGCCUUCGGUUGUAAAGCACUUUUGUCCGGAAAGAAAUCCUUGGCUCUAAUACAGUCGGGGGAUGACGGUACCGGAAGAAUAAGCACCGGCUAACUACGUGCCAGCAGCCGCGGUAAUACGUAGGGUGCAAGCGUUAAUCGGAAUUACUGGGCGUAAAGCGUGCGCAGGCGGUUUGCUAAGACCGAUGUGAAAUCCCCGGGCUCAACCUGGGAACUGCAUUGGUGACUGGCAGGCUAGAGUAUGGCAGAGGGGGGUAGAAUUCCACGUGUAGCAGUGAAAUGCGUAGAGAUGUGGAGGAAUACCGAUGGCGAAGGCAGCCCCCUGGGCCAAUACUGACGCUCAUGCACGAAAGCGUGGGGAGCAAACAGGAUUAGAUACCCUGGUAGUCCACGCCCUAAACGAUGUCAACUAGUUGUUGGGGAUUCAUUUCCUUAGUAACGUAGCUAACGCGUGAAGUUGACCGCCUGGGGAGUACGGUCGCAAGAUUAAAACUCAAGGAAUUGACGGGGUCAUAGCUGUUUCCU
RNAcentral lists this ribosomal RNA (583 nucleotides) under uncultured bacterium. RNAcentral's name for it is "partial 16S ribosomal RNA". It matches the Rfam family "Bacterial small subunit ribosomal RNA", at positions 355 to 1375 of the family's 1533-position model. The record is from RNAcentral.